Molecule: long non-coding RNA, 7709 nt
Filed under: Triticum aestivum (bread wheat)
Lineage: Eukaryota; Viridiplantae; Streptophyta; Magnoliopsida; Poales; Poaceae
Description: long non-coding RNA (TAES_LNC021639)
Source: RNAcentral
GUUGGUGUUUUUGUUCGUCACAACAUUUCAAAUCUUGGAGAUGGGAGACUGAUUAGACAGUAUGAAAGAAAUCAAUCCAGACAGUAAGGGAUGCUAUUGUUUAUAUUAUUGCUUGGCCUCGAUUACAUGCAAGUCCACUUCCAUACAAGCAUCGGAUAUGCUCCAAUUUCCAUUAAGGUUUAUCAUUUGUGAAGAUUCUUUGUAGUUUUUUCAGGUCAAAAUACCUAAGCCAAUCGCUCCAACAAUACUAGAAAAGAUUCGUACUCCAACACGACCACAAGACAUUGGUGUGGUACAUCCCUUAUAAUUUAUAGAAUAACAUUUCAUUGUGGACUAGUCCAAAAGCUUAUGUUCAUGUAAACUGUUCUUUGUUCACUUUCUUUUUCAGGGUAUGCUGAGGCUUUAGAGGAGAGCAUUGCAGGAUCCAGGAGCAGCUGUAGAUGGAUUAGUUUUUAAAUGAACAAAUAUAAUGAAUUAUGUAUAGAUUUUAGCUUCAUAGGAAAACUUAGUUCUAGUCUGUAGGAUUUUUUUCUUAAUUAAUUAUUUGUAUUUUUCAUAUGAAUGUCAAGAUUUUUUCAGUUGUGAACUCCACAGAUUUUUAAAAGAUGUAUUUGUUCCUACUAAAUAGUCCACUGGAUUUGCUACUGAUGAUGCUAAUUGUGCGAAUAGGAUUGGUGAUGUGGACUGAGGCCUUCAUAUAAUGACAUUUGAUCAGACUGCGUGUCAUGAUAAAGUAAUCAAAUUUGAAAUGCUGAAAUUCAAAAUUAAAAUAAACCAAAUAAUAUUUAGUAUAAAAUAAUUCAUAGCGGGAGAAAAACUUAUGUAUAUUUGGGAACGAUUAUAACGUCUCUACAUAGCAUGCAUAAGCAACAGGCCCAUGAUGAAACCUCUAUUCCUGCAGAGACGUGGAUGAGCGUGUGUAACAUAACAUCUCAACAUGUAUAGAGACGAUUUUCUCGCCCCCGUCUCCCCCGACCCCGCCUCGCCGCCAUCUCCCCCGACCACGCCUCGCCGCGUCUCGGUGCCGCCGUCUCCCCCAACCCCAUCUCUCUCCCCGCCCUCUGUAAGCACUCUCCCCUUCCGAUCCCUCUUCUCUGCUUAGUAUGAACCCUAGCUAUUUAGUGCUAGUUAGUAUGAACCUGCGACACCAGCGAAUAAUAUGAGUAUAACUCAAUCCCAAAUUGCCUCACAAAAAAAAUAAACUCAACCCCCAAUAAAUAAUGCAAGAAACAGAAUUUGAACCUGCGACCUCAAAGAUUGAUGUGGAGUCUAGUGUCCUACCAACAGGACUGCAAGCUUGAUUGAACUUGGGGGUUAGAUCCUACUUGAUCCGUCCGGCAACCUACGUGUUAGCUUUUUUUUGAGGGGGAUCCGUGUCAGGUAAUGUGCCCAACAAGAUGGGCCUGAACCUGCGCUCCCUCACAAAAACCUUGCUAUGGCCCAUCUAAUUGGCACAACAAGUAUGUGGUGCAUGAUUACCAAUUGAUGAGAUAGCUAAUUGUUCACAGAUCCAAAAGAAAUGUUCACUUUCAAGUUUUGUUCAGUUCUUCAAAAAAUGUUCCUGUUUUCAAACUUUAUUCAAGAUUUCAAGAAAUGUUCCCAUUCUCAAGAAGUGUUCACAGAUGGAAAAAUGUUCGAGAUUCCCAACAAUGUUGGCGUUUUUACAAAAAAAAAACGAGGUUUCAUUUUUUUCACGAAUUUUAAAAUGUUCAUGUUUUCAAAUUUCAAAUAACUUUCCCGUUACCAAAAAAUAUUCAUAGGUUCAAAACUGUUCAAAUUUUUUAAAAUGUGUUCAAAAUAAUGACCGCGUUUCAAAAGAUAAUUCACUUUCUUCGACAAAAAAAUACGUUCACAUUUUUCAUAAAUGUCUUUUCAAAUCUCGGUGUUGCAGUGUGUUCUUUACAUAUAUUGCGCGUUAGCAAAUCAACAACAACUUUUAGUUCUAGCGGCUAAUAGUGUGCCUAGCCGCGGGACUCCCUAUAUGACGCUUGCAUUCUAACUGUUGGACCUCUUCCACCACAACGCGCGCACCAUCAUCAUGCUAAAAAAAGGAUUCCCACCUUUUGGUAUUAAUGCCAUGGAUAUUUCGUUUAACUGGCACAACAUGGCCGGACAUGGAGUAUGUGAGCUCGAGCUCCCAUGCACCCUUUGCUACAGUAAACUUGGAAAACAUAUUUAAGAAGUUCAAAAAUAUCUGAAUUUUUUUGGCAACAAACAUUGAUGCGUGUUUCACAUGCGUUCCAUUUUGGUGAUGAAAUAACAUUUGUGGAGGCCUCGGCAAAAAGAUAAAAUAAUGCUUGAAAAAAACUGUUUUUGAAAGCAUUUUGGAGCAUCGAUUUUGUUUUUUUACCGAGACCUGCACGAAUGUCAUUUUGUCAUGAAAUUUUGGAUGCAUGUGAAAAAUACAUCGAUGUUUGUUCUAAAAAAAAUCAGUUUUUUUAUUUUUUUUUUAAAUCGAUUUUGCUGUAGCAAAGGGUGCAUGUGAGUUCGAGCUCACAAGAGCACUUUCGCAGAUGGCCCCCUUAUGCUGAUUCUCACCAAUUUAAAUAGGUUCAACAACGUUCUUGGUGUGAGCUAAUUAAGGUUGGGCAUAGUGAGAGUAACUUAGCUAGAAACAUAGCGCAUUUCAAGACAAGUUUGAUUAUGUGACAUGUAAUUAAUGAGGAGAGAUGUGUUUAGAGUAACAAAAUAUAUUACCGUAACAUAACACGACCCAAAGCGAGUCUACAAUCUAAUAAAUAUAAUCAUUUAUGAUACUACUUCUAUGUUACUUUGCGGUAUUGAAAGGAUCAAUAUGGUUGACUAUGGGGUGAAUAGGCAACUAAUAAUUUUUAGCUCUUUUAAAAAAUUAGGGUUAGCAACAAAUAGGUUAUCUAAAUAUGCAACUAGGUCACCAACCUAUAUGAUGCACUCAACAACAACAACAACAACAACAACAACAACAACAACAACAACAACAACAACCACAACAACAACAACAACAAACAACAACAACUACAUGAGCAAGCAAAAGAUACAACACACUAUUAGCUUGCAAAAAGUAAAGGUAAGAAGUAACCACAAGUGGAGUCGAUGGGGACGAGGAUGUGUCACCAAAGUUCCCUCCCUUUAGGGGGAGUUACGUCUCCGUUAGAGUGGUGUGGAGGCACAAUGCUCCUUAAGAAGCCACUAGGGCCACUGUAUUCUCCUCACACCCUCGCACAAUGCAAAAUGUCGUGAUUCCAUUAGUGGUGCUCUUGAAGGCUGCAACCAAACCUUUACAAACUAGGUUGGGGCAAUCUCCACAACUUAAUUGGAUGCUUCAAUGACCGUCUUCAGUCUUUAUCACCGAGGGGAAUAAAUCAUCUUAUGACAUGAUAGAAUAUAUGAAAUGCUCAAUGCACACGAUUAGUCCGCAAAUUGCAUUGCCAUUAAUCACCAAAACCAAUAAGGGAGAAAUAUACUCUAACCGCUAUGAAUGGUAGUAACAUAGACUAGUGCCAUAUGCAUGCCACUAGUCUAAAACUCUAAGUUAUUCCCCACUAUGACUAGCCUAGGUAUCCUUCACAUGCAAGUGUUGUGUGGGAACAUGUGUGCAAGAAGAAGUCGGCUUCACAUUUGGCUACUGGGGUGGAUAUAGAGGAAAGAGGCUAAGAAGAUGUGGUGUUGUUUGGGAAUGGAAUGGGUGCGUGGUGGCAUGUGUGCAUGAAGAAGUCGGCUCGUGUUUGAUUGUGGGUUCUAGAGAGGAAAACAUGCUAAGAAGCUGUGGCGCUGUUUGUGAAUGGAAUUGGUGCAUGGUGGCAUGUGUGUAUGAAGAAGUUGGCUCAUGUUUGAUUGUGGGUUUUGGAUAGGCAAACAUGCUAAGUUGCGGUGGAGGCUAAGAAGAUGUGGUGCUAUUUGAGAAUGGAAUUGGUGCGUAGUGGCAGGUGUGCAUGAAGAAGUUGGCCCGUCAUUGGUGAAACUCCUCAAAAUCAUUCCAUUCGUACACAAAUAUAAGACAUUUUAGACAUUUCAUUAUGAACUGCAUAUGUACUUGAGUGAGUGAACAAAUAUACUAAAAUGCAUCUACAUCCAUCUCAACCAGAAUAGAGUUUGAACGUCUUAUACUAUAUUUUUUUAUGGAGGGAAUAUUAUUUAUUGUAGAUCGAACGGAUAUUAGGGCUCGUAUUUACCAUUUGUUUUAAUUACUUUAAAAAUACUAAAAUAAUUGUGCACGCAAACUGUUUUUCACUUUAUCAAAUUUGGGGUUCCUACUUUUUUUCGUUUACCGCCUAGGCCUUCCCGCGUUUCUACUAGAUUGUUUUUGCUCCACAUAAUCCUUCCGCAUCUUUUCCCCACCCUACGCCGCCAUCUCCCCAACUCCCCACCUCCAGAUCGGUUCCAAUCUACGCAGGCACCAGCCCAUCCCAUGCGCCGCCCAUUCCCACAUAGGACGCGGAUGCAGCCUCACCCGAUUGCUGAUCUCCGCCGCCAGCUUAGGCCUUCGCUCGUGACUUCCCAUUCUCCCCUGUCAUCGAUCUUGCCAGUUGGAGCCCCAUCAGCAUCCGGCUUCCUCACCAUCGCCAAGCCGCGCUCCUCUAUCCGAAGCUCUGCCGUGUGUUGCGUCGCUACACCGUCCACAAGCAGCUCUCGGCACCAUCCAACAUCUUCAGACUUCCGUCCGGUCAAGCAGGUGAUUCCUUUAAUCCCAACUCCCCUAUAGUUUUAGCAUUAGAUCUGUGAAAGUAGCCUCCUUCAUUUGGGGCCUGUUCGGUUCUUGGGGUUUGAUUCCCCAAGGGGAAUCAACACCUACGGUUUCAGGUUAACGCCUCCUACUACCCUAUGUAAUCUUCCCAUCCACAGUCUGUUCGGUUACAGUAGGGAUCAAAGGUGGUUUUGCAGUGAGAACGCUAAACUGUAAUCAUCCAUGACUAGUAAUUUGACAGUGACACACUAGUAACAUGUCAAAUGACAUUUUUUUCUGCACAAGAAACUACAGAACUAUAUGGUGGACAAGUUGCAGUCAGAUGAAAAGCUAGUAUGUAACCAAGAGCCACACACAUUGCAGAGAUAUCAUGAUUUUAGUUAACUUGUAAUACAAAAUGAUGCAAUUUGCACAACCAUGUUUUCACCCAACAUUUUGUUCAUAUGAUCCUCUCACAUCUGAAAUAGAUGGCAGUAAACAUAGUUCAAGCAACAGGUGCACGCAGAUAUGCAGACCACUCAAGCGAACCAUUUGUUUCACUAUAUACAACAAAUUUAAUCAUGCAAUCUCAGUACACCACUGUAAUAUUCAUAAAUUCCUUUCUGAAUUUCACAAAUUUCUUUACUAUACACACCUUAUCUUUUUACCAUAUAUCUAGAUCCUUCUCUGUAUAAUUGUGUUUUCGAACACCUAGAUCAUACUCUGAAAAACUAAUGGGCAUUUAUAAUAGCCAAAGACCCUGAAGUGGUUAUUAAGGAAACUGAAUUAGUUUUGGAACAUAUAAAUAAGGUAUUUGGGCUGAACCUACAAAGAGAGGAUGAUCCCCGAUUGUUAGUACUAUUACCUAAGAAAACAAAAGGUUGAAUUUCCUGUGUUUCUUUUAAUUUCCUAGUAUAGCUAAUGUUGGAAAAAUGGAUACAUUCUAUGUGGUUGCUCUAUAUUCCUUGCAAGCUAGUAAGAACAUGGCUCACGCAGUCAAGCUGUAUGUAUGCAGUUUUCUGCUACUUUCAGUUUUUUCCUAUUUGAUCUCACAUGGUUUAUUUGUUUAUUAGAUAAUGCACUGCAAUGCAAGACCUUGUUAUAUGUUUAUAUGCACAAGUUUCCUUCACUAUCUUGUUGAUUAAUUUAUGAUUUUAACAUUGUUUUCGCAAAUAUAUAAUGUCAAGGAUAAUGUACAAGAUUUGAGAGACGAGCUGAGUAUGAUGCAUUUGUUCAUGAAGCAAAAAUUCUCUGCAGAGAAAUGGAGAAAUAAAAUUGUAACCGUGGGAAGUGAUGAAGUUGGUAUAUAAAAAACAUCUCUUUCUGCAAAGAUAAAAGUCUGGGUAUUAGUACAAUAUUAUCAAGUUCUUGUUUCAGGUUGAUCUCAGCAUAAGAGUUGUUGGCAGUGACCUACACAUGAAGAAUCACCUCACAAUGUGCAUGCUUCACAGAAUGGUAUGCAAGUGAUGCAAUAGUUUCUUCACUAGUAAGUUAGCGCUAGUUUUUUCUCAUACUUAAAACAAUUGUUCAUCAUAAGUUGCAGGAAUUGCAUCCUAGCAGUUGUGUGAGAACCAAAGAGGGUUACACCAAAUCCUAUUUACGACAUGAACGCAUCGUUGCCAAGGUAUCAAACAAUGUCCGCGUGUACAGAAAUUUCUGCUUUGUUAUUAAACAGUGACUAUGUUUGUACAAUUUUACUUGUAACUGAAAGGAACCUCAACUAUAGACGCACACAUUGAAAAGUUUGAUAGGGCUAAUCAAGGUGCAGAAUCAACUUUACUAAGACGAGCAGUUCACUAGCCAGGUAUAUUCAAACAACAGAUGAAAAGAAAUGUGGUGUCCUGUUUUGUACAAGUAGGGUAUUUGCCUGCUUCUGUUUUUUUGCAAGCAACAUGAUAUCGUGAUGAAAUAAUUAUUUCCAAGAUUUUGGUAAUACAUGUGCUAAUACUAUUUAUUUUCAAAGAACUGCUAAUACUAGUUUCACAAAAAAAUAAAUGCUACUCAUGAACUAGUAGCAGCAGUAGUAGGAGGUAACCCUAAUGCAACAACAAAAUGGGAUAAUCAUCGAAAUCCGGAGUACAUGAUAAGAUGAGUUUAAAUCUUUGUCAUGGUAAUAAUAUCACUCAUGAUCAAUUGCAUUAUGUAAUAUCCUGGAGCUGGCAUAGAAAAGAGUUCAGUUUAGAAGUGUCUAUGGUACAACUAGGAACCAGAUAGAAUCAAUAUGUACAUAAUAAGUUUGAUGAUUUAGUGCAUUUGUUAUACAUGAUAAAGACCUGUAAAUUAUAUUCCCUGAUUAGUGUCUCUUUUCACCCGUAUUUUUACUGAAAUAAGUGUGUUAUUUCUUGAAAUAAUAAAGGAAAAAUUGAAGUAAUUCUUUUCGAUGAACUCGAGGAAAAAAAGUUAAGUCGUGGACAAAGGAGCUUUAGUGAAUAAAAAUAUAACAUAUGUGGUUGAGGAAACAUGCUUGGAGAGCAAUAUGUUGGUGUUUUUGUUCGUCACAACAUUUCAAAUCUUGGAGAUGGGAGACUGAUUAGACAGUAUGAAAGAAAUCAAUCCAGACAGUAAGGGAUGCUAUUGUUUAUAUUAUUGCUUGGCCUCGAUUACAUGCAAGUCCACUUCCAUACAAGCAUCGGAUAUGCUCCAAUUUCCAUUAAGGUUUAUCAUUUAUGAAGAUUCUUUGUAGUUUUUUGAGGUCAAAAUACCUAAGCCAAUCGCUCCAACAAUACUAGAAAAGAUUCGUACUCCAACACGACCACAAGACAUUGGUGUGGUACAUCCCUUAUAAUUUAUAGAAUAACAUUUCAUUGUGGACUAGUCCAAAAGCUUAUGUUCAUGUAAACUGUUAUUUGUUCACUUUCUUUUUCAGGGUAUGCUGAGGCUUUAGAGGAGAGCAUUGCAGGAUCCAGGAGCAGCUAUAGAUGGAUUAGUUUUUAAAUGAACAAAUAUAAUGAAUUAUGUAUAGAUUUUAGCUUCAUAGGAAAACUUAGUUCUAGUCUGUAGGAUUUUUUCUUAAUUAAUUAUUUGUAUUUUUCAUAUGAAUGUCAAGAUUUUUUCAGUUGUGAACUCC